CCUUCUUGUGAGAUUGUGAGCUUUUAAGAUGCAUUAAGCAUCUACAACCGCACUAAGUGCGGUUCCACGAUACCGGCCAUGCGGUACACUUGAACCAACUUGUGCUGUGGUGUUGGGGGCCUGUCCCCGGCAGCCCGGAAGCAAAAUGAUGUGACCGCACCUAAUUCAGGAAAGCCGACGACUAUUUCAUUAUUUUUGGCAUGAACUACUAACCUUUUUUUAUCAACUCUACAUAAUGUGAAAAUUUCAUGGACUUAACCUCAUCGGACUUCUCGUCAAACUUUGUCUUCUCUUCUAUCUUAAAGAAAUUUUUU
This is a long non-coding RNA of Bacillus rossius redtenbacheri, 314 nucleotides long. RefSeq lists it as uncharacterized. Lineage: Eukaryota; Metazoa; Arthropoda; Insecta; Phasmatodea; Bacillidae. The transcript has 2 exons. The record is from RefSeq and is a predicted model, not a curated record.